RNAcentral lists this ribosomal RNA (200 nucleotides) under uncultured bacterium. Its description in RNAcentral is "partial 16S ribosomal RNA". It matches the Rfam family "Bacterial small subunit ribosomal RNA", at positions 8 to 198 of the family's 1533-position model. The record is from RNAcentral.
AGAGUUUGAUCAUGGCUCAGGACGAACGCUGGCGGCGUGCUUAACACAUGCAAGUCGAACGCGCUCCAAUCGGUAGCAAUACUGAUGAAGAGCGAGUGGCGAACGGGUGAGUAGCACGUGAGCAACCUGCCCCGAAGACUGGGACAACACCGGGAAACCGGUGCUAAUACCGGAUAUCCCUAUCGGAUCGCAUGAUCCGC